CCUGACUCUGCCGUCCUUCAAGCACGAUCGGGUCUUGCUCCGAUCUUCCUCCCAAACCUCGGGGUUCUUGCGAUCUGUCAUAGCUUCUUUGGUCUGACCCAUGCGGAAUCUCCUUCCUAUGUCCUUCUCGACCCGUGCCUGCCGUUCUUGACCCGGUAUUCCCAUAUUCAGGUCUGCUUUCAAGAUCUUUGAUCAGGGCCAAAAGAUCCGCCCUACUGACUCUUCCUCGGUAUCUUUCCGCCAGAGCGUUAACAUCUCGACUGGCCUCCUCCAGAUGUGCGGUCGCUCGUCUAUCUUGCGGGGGUCUUCCUCCGUCCCUGGCGC
RNAcentral lists this long non-coding RNA (324 nucleotides) under Daucus carota (carrot). Its description in RNAcentral is "long non-coding RNA (DCAR_LNC004850)". Lineage: Eukaryota; Viridiplantae; Streptophyta; Magnoliopsida; Apiales; Apiaceae. The record is from RNAcentral.